GCAUCUCGAAACUUUUAAAAGACCCGCAAGGGUAUGCUGAGAGAUGGGCCUUGCGGCCCAUUAGUUAGUUGGUAAGGUAAUGGCUUACCAAGACUAUGAUGUGUAGCUGGACUGAGGAGGUUGAACGGCCCCAUUGGGACUGAGAUACGGCCCAAACUCCUACCGGGAGGCAGCAGUAAGGAAUUUUCGGCAAUUGGAGGAAACUCUGACCGAGCAACGCCGCGUGAACGAUGAAGUAUUUAGGUACGUAAAGUUCUUUUAUUAAAGAAGAAAAAAUGAUGGAAAAAUCAUUCUGACGGUAUUUAAUGAAUAAGCCCCGGCUAACUAUGUGCCAGCAGCUGCGGUAAUACAUGGGGGGCAAGCGUUAUCCGGAUUUAUUGGGCGUAAAGGGUGCGUAGGCGGUUAAAUAAGUCUAUGGUAUAAGUUCAACGCUUAACGUUGUGAUGCUAUAGAAACUGUUUAACUAGAGUUGGAUAGAGGCAAGUGGAAUUCCAUGUGUAGCGGUAAAAUGCGUAAAUAUAUGGAGGAACACCAGUAGCGAAGGCGGCUUGCUGGGUCUUAACUGACGCUGAGGCACGAAAGCGUGGGGAGCAAACAGGAUUAGAUACCCUGGUAGUCCACGCCGUAAACGAUGAGUACUAAGUGUUGGGUUAAACCAGUGCUGAAGUUAACACAUUAAGUACUCCGCCUGAGUAGUACGUACGCAAGUAUGAAACUUAAAGGAAUUGACGGGACUCCGCACAAGCGGUGGAUCAUGUUGUUUAAUUCGAAGAUACACGAAAAACCUUACCAGGUCUUGACAUACUCUGCAAAGCUAUAGAAAUAUAGUGGAGGUUAUCAGGGAUACAGGUGGUGCAUGGUUGUCGUCAGCUCGUGUCGUGAGAUGUUGGGUAAGUCCCGCAACGAGCGCA
RNAcentral lists this ribosomal RNA (911 nucleotides) under Candidatus Phytoplasma prunorum. Its description in RNAcentral is "bacterial SSU rRNA". It matches the Rfam family "Bacterial small subunit ribosomal RNA", at positions 188 to 1100 of the family's 1533-position model. The record is from RNAcentral. Lineage: Bacteria; Bacillati; Mycoplasmatota; Mollicutes; Acholeplasmatales; Acholeplasmataceae.